CCAGUACUCCCUCCAUCCCAAAAUUCUUGUCUUAGAUUUGUCUAGAUAGGGAUGUACCUAUAAUACUAAAACAUGACUUGAUACAUCCGUAUUUAGACAAAUCUAAGACAAGAAUUUUGGGACGGAGGGAGUACUAA
Molecule: non-coding RNA, 137 nt
Organism: Triticum aestivum (bread wheat)
Lineage: Eukaryota; Viridiplantae; Streptophyta; Magnoliopsida; Poales; Poaceae
Source: Rfam